CCGUGGUAUGGAACCAGCUUCUGUUGAGUGACACUGGGCUCUGUGUGACAUCACAAUUCUAAAGUCACAUGAGGCGUUGCAGCCCAAAACGUCCCAGCAUGCUCUGCUGGCAAGUAGGUUGGAAAGUGCUGAGUGCAGAAGGAAAUCUGGGAAGGUCAGGGCGUUUCCCCUUGUGGCUGCAGACUGCUUAGCAAGGCCAGUUGUUUGCCUGUGCCUCCUGCACCCUACUUCAUUUGUACUAGGGGGAUUUGAGUCUGGAGGUGGAUAGACCUAGAACUAGGCAGAACCCAAACUUUUUGAUUCUCUCACAGGGAAGUGGCUCAUGACAAGCUUGGAUCUUUUGGAUCUCAAGAGUCCCUCAAAAGCAGGCAGGCAGGCAGGCAAACCUGCAAAAGGCCAAAUCCUGUAGGACUGAGCUCACAGGGCGGGUAGAGCUCUGCCAUAGAUUCAGCCAGUCGUCUCUGUCUUGGUACUUUGCUCCAAUGUUAAGUGAAAUGAGACACACAAGCUUAAAUAUCACAAGGUUUUCCUCUAUGAGAAACCCAGAGCAGAUAAAGAGAUUUGUGUGUGUGUGUGAU
Molecule: long non-coding RNA, 578 nt
Filed under: Chinchilla lanigera (long-tailed chinchilla)
Lineage: Eukaryota; Metazoa; Chordata; Mammalia; Rodentia; Chinchillidae
Description: lncRNA (ENSCLAG00000024272.1)
Source: RNAcentral